Molecule: long non-coding RNA, 482 nt
Organism: Brassica napus (rape)
Lineage: Eukaryota; Viridiplantae; Streptophyta; Magnoliopsida; Brassicales; Brassicaceae
Exons: 2
Source: RefSeq, a predicted model, not a curated record
CAAAGCCUUCGACCAACUUCAAAGUUCAAACCAUGGCUGGAGAAGGAAGUAAACAAAACGCAACUAGAGAUGAUGCCUAUGCAUAUCUUAGGACUGUGAAGAAAAAAAUUCAGAACGAUCGUGAAAAAUAUAACGAUUUUCUUGCGAUUAUGAAUAAUUUUAAUGCUGGAAGAAUUGAUAGGAAUGGUUGCAUAGAAGAGGUGAAGGAACUAUUUAAAGGACACCGAGACUUGAUUUCGGGUUUCAAUGUGUUUUUACCAGGGUCCUUAGAGAUCGCUGAUUGGUACAACUUAGAGGGUCGCUGAUGUAUAACGUCCGUCUAAUCUUUUUUAGGAUCUAAACCGAGUUCGGGUUAGAUUCGUAUUCUAAGGCGAAUCUGUUUAUGAUUUGUUAUAUUUACUCCAUUAGCCAUUCGGCCUUAUAAAUAAUGGUUCUAAGCUCUUUGUAGUUCCCAUUUUUUUUAUAUAUCAACCUCCUCUCAA